Molecule: non-coding RNA, 67 nt
Organism: Potamilus streckersoni
Lineage: Eukaryota; Metazoa; Mollusca; Bivalvia; Unionida; Unionidae
Source: the annotation of a GenBank genome assembly
GGGACCUAGUGGUUAGAGCGUCCGCAUCGAAUGCGGGAGGUCGUGGGUUCGAUCCCCGGUCGAGUCA